GCCUCUGUGGUGUAGUUGGUUAUCACGUGAGUCUCAUAAUCUCAAGGUCGCCAGUUCGAUCCUGGCCGGAGGCA
Molecule: transfer RNA, 74 nt
Filed under: Histoplasma capsulatum var. duboisii H88
Lineage: Eukaryota; Fungi; Ascomycota; Eurotiomycetes; Onygenales; Ajellomycetaceae
Also listed under: 1 other name
Description: tRNA-Met (CAT) (tRNA-Met-CAT-2-1)
Rfam family: tRNA
About the family: Transfer RNA (tRNA) molecules are approximately 80 nucleotides in length.
Source: RNAcentral